GGCUGGUCUGAAAGUAGUGAGUUAUCUCAAUUGACUGUUCACAGUCAGUUACAGAUCAAACUUCUUAUUCUACUCUUUCCCUCCUCCUCACGACUGCUUUUGACUAGUCUUUU
Molecule: unclassified non-coding RNA, 113 nt
Organism: Colobus angolensis palliatus
Lineage: Eukaryota; Metazoa; Chordata; Mammalia; Primates; Cercopithecidae
Rfam family: Y RNA
About the family: Y RNAs are components of the Ro ribonucleoprotein particle (Ro RNP), in association with Ro60 and La proteins. The Y RNAs and Ro60 and La proteins are well conserved, but the function of the Ro RNP is not known. In humans the RNA component can be one of four small RNAs -- hY1, hY3, hY4 and hY5.
Source: Ensembl